UAUUGCACAAUGGGGGAAACCCUGAUGCAGCAACGCCGCGUGAAGGAAGACGGUUUUCGGAUUUUAAACUUCUUUUCUUAGUGAAGAAGAAAGUGACGGUAGACAAUGAAUAAGCAUCGGCUAACUACGUGCCAGCAGCCGGGGUAAUACGUAGGAUGCGAGCGUCAUCCGGAAUUACUGGGUGUAUAGGGAGCGCAGGCGGGACUGCAAGUUGGAUGUGGAAUGCCGCAGCUUAACUGCGGAGCUGCAUCCAAAACUGUAGUUCUUGAGUGGAGUAGAGGCAAGCGGAAUUCCGAGUGUAGCGGUGAAAUGCGUAGAUAUUCGGAGGAACACCAGUGGCGAAGGCGGCUUGCUGGGCUCUAACUGACGCUGAGGCUCGAAAGUGUGGGGAGCAAACAGG
This 400-nucleotide ribosomal RNA is filed under the name uncultured bacterium. Its description in RNAcentral is "bacterial SSU rRNA". It matches the Rfam family "Bacterial small subunit ribosomal RNA", at positions 362 to 776 of the family's 1533-position model. The record is from RNAcentral.